ACAUCCAGAAACGGGGGGAAUUGGUGUGCUGGAUAAGGAUCCAGCACACCAAUUCCCCCCGUUUCUGGAUGU
Molecule: non-coding RNA, 72 nt
Organism: Pelobates cultripes (western spadefoot toad)
Lineage: Eukaryota; Metazoa; Chordata; Amphibia; Anura; Pelobatidae
Source: the annotation of a GenBank genome assembly